GGCGCGUUGGUCUAGUCGCAUGAUUCUCGCUUUGGGUCUAGCUCAACUGCGAGAGGUCCUGGGUUCAAUUCCCAGACGCGCCC
This 83-nucleotide transfer RNA is filed under the name Serendipita indica DSM 11827. Its description in RNAcentral is "transfer RNA-Pro(TGG)". It matches the Rfam family "tRNA". Rfam says of the family: Transfer RNA (tRNA) molecules are approximately 80 nucleotides in length. Their secondary structure includes four short double-helical elements and three loops (D, anti-codon, and T loops). Lineage: Eukaryota; Fungi; Basidiomycota; Agaricomycetes; Sebacinales; Serendipitaceae. The record is from RNAcentral.